RNAcentral lists this long non-coding RNA (592 nucleotides) under Hordeum vulgare. RNAcentral's name for it is "long non-coding RNA (HVUL_LNC000238)". The record is from RNAcentral. Lineage: Eukaryota; Viridiplantae; Streptophyta; Magnoliopsida; Poales; Poaceae.
CAGCCUUGUUGCCUCCUCAGACAGAUAAUCGCUGUUCGUCCAGUCCCGAUCUCCAGUGGCAUCCUUGUGCAGUCACAAAUCUCUGGAUGGCGCGAGAGUGCGAAGCCAUCUCAGUAAAGGCACCUCCAGCUGGUUUUGGAGCGCGGAGACCUCUCCUGGUUCACAGCCAACGGAAGCACACGAUUGGGCCUCCCGUCGCGCAUCCCAUCCCACUGCAGGCUGCACAACAGAGCAAAGAUGAGAACUCGUUUCAAAUAGACAGAGCCAAGAUGAGCAGGCCAAGACGGCGAAACAACAUACCCGCGGAGUCUGCGGCCAGCGCCGCAUGAGCGAGAUGACGCACGGCGCAAGCGAUGCCACUAACCGACGGUGCGCCAAGACCGUCUAGGUGGGAACCAGUAUUGCCGUGAGAGAAGAUGGCCCCAAAUUGCAUUGCUGCUGUUUGACCACGUCACGACCAUCCAAGUUGAACUUUAUCAAAUAUUUUGGAUUCGACAGGUUCUAAACUCAUUCCUUCAGUUUUCUUCUAAUAUCUCAUCUAAUAUGUAAAUUACGUGGGCGAUUCUUUCAACUGUGUACUAGUGUAGUACUG